AGCGUAGGCGGACUUUUAAGUGAGAUGUGAAAUACCCGGGCUCAACUUGGGUGCUGCAUUUCAAACUGGAAGUCUAGAGUGCAGGAGAGGAGAAUGGAAUUCCUAGUGUAGCGGUGAAAUGCGUAGAGAUUAGGAAGAACACCAGUGGCGAAGGCGAUUCUCUGGACUGUAACUGACGCUGAGGCUCGAAAGCGUGGGGAGCAAGCA
This 207-nucleotide ribosomal RNA is filed under the name uncultured Clostridium sp. RNAcentral's name for it is "partial 16S ribosomal RNA". It matches the Rfam family "Bacterial small subunit ribosomal RNA", at positions 568 to 774 of the family's 1533-position model. The record is from RNAcentral. Lineage: Bacteria; Bacillati; Bacillota; Clostridia; Eubacteriales; Clostridiaceae.